AUUGAACGCUGGCGGUAUGCUUAAGACAUGCAAGUCGAACGGUAACAGACCUUCGGGUGCUGACGAGUGGCGGACGGGUGAGUAACACGUGGGAAUCUACCUUGUAGUGGGGGAUAAGCCAGGGAAACUUGGACUAAUACCGCAUACGCCCUAAGGGGAAAGGCGCAAGUCGCUAUAAGAUGAGCCCGCGUCUGAUUAGCUAGUUGGUGAGGUAAAGGCUCACCAAGGCGACGAUCAGUAGCUGGUCUGAGAGGAUGGCCAGCCAUAUUGGGACUGAGACACGGCCCAGACUCCUACGGGAGGCAGCAGUCGGGAAUAUUGGACAAUGGGGGCGAACCCUGAUCCAGCAAUACCGCGUGUGUGAAGAAGGCCUGCGGGUUGUAAAGCACUUUUA
Molecule: ribosomal RNA, 394 nt
Filed under: uncultured bacterium
Lineage: Bacteria
Description: bacterial SSU rRNA
Rfam family: Bacterial small subunit ribosomal RNA
Source: RNAcentral